RNAcentral lists this ribosomal RNA (34 nucleotides) under Aspergillus bombycis. RNAcentral's name for it is "partial 28S ribosomal RNA". RNAcentral also lists the same sequence under 4 other names. The record is from RNAcentral. Lineage: Eukaryota; Fungi; Ascomycota; Eurotiomycetes; Eurotiales; Aspergillaceae.
GACCUCGGAUCAGGUAGGGAUACCCGCUGAACUU